This 460-nucleotide ribosomal RNA is filed under the name uncultured bacterium. RNAcentral's name for it is "partial 16S ribosomal RNA". It matches the Rfam family "Bacterial small subunit ribosomal RNA", at positions 338 to 795 of the family's 1533-position model. The record is from RNAcentral.
CCUACGGGCGACAGCAGUGAGGAAUAUUGGUCAAUGGGCGCUAGCCUGAACCAGCCAAGCAGCGUGAAGGAUGACGGCCCUAAGGAUUGUAAACUUCUUUUGUAUGGGAAUAAAGUGCAGUAUGUAUACUGCUUUGCAUGUACCUUAUGAAUAAGGAUCGGCUAACUCCGUGCCAGCAGCCGCGGUAAUACGGAGGAUCCGAGCGUUAUCCGGAUUUAUUGGGUUUAAAGGGAGCGUAGGCGGGUUGUUAAGUCAGUUGUGAAAGUUUGCGGCUCAACCGUAAAAUUGCAGUUGAUACUGGCAGCCUUGAGUACAGGAGAGGUAGGCGGAAUUCGUGGUGUAGCGGUGAAAUGCUUAGAUAUCACGAAGAACUCCGAUUGCGAAGGCAGCCUGCUGGACUGUAACUGACGCUGAUGCUCGAAAGUGUGGGUAUCAAACAGGAUUAGAUACCCUAGUAGUC